Ornithodoros turicata is the source of this 1118-nucleotide long non-coding RNA. RefSeq lists it as uncharacterized. Lineage: Eukaryota; Metazoa; Arthropoda; Arachnida; Ixodida; Argasidae. The record is from RefSeq and is a predicted model, not a curated record. The transcript is spliced from 2 exons.
AAAAAUGGCCCUCCUUUCUCGUGACCGCACCAAGCGAUUGUCAGACUUUAUGAGAUGGAAGAAGACUCCCCCUGCUGUGCGUCGUCUGCUGCCAUCCUGAACGUGAUAGUUACAUCACUUUCCAUCAUAUUUAAUAGACAAACAAGUCUGUCACUGUUCAUAUAAGCAUCGCUUUUCAGAUGAUAAAAGAUGAGCAAAGUGCUUCAAAAUUGUGCAACUUUCUUUCUCUUAGUCCAUAUUUAUAACAGAAAUAACAACAGAAAAAGAAAAACUCUAGCAACCUUGUGCAAUAGAUCAGUGAAGUAAGAGCCCAUGCAGACGAGUGGCUGACAAGUAAUGAUUUACUCACCAGCGUAAGAAGACCCCCAGCAGAUUCAAUGUCUUCAGUCAUGCUCAGCAACUGCUGAGCUUUGGUCUCUCCCAGGAUGCGGACAACGCGCUCUGCAUGCACAACAAGGACAACAAGGACAAUUCAAUCUCUGUGUGGACCUAUCAGUAUUUUAGUGUUAAUAAUACAGUGACAUCAAAAUGACAUCAUUCCUCCGCAAAUCAAGUACUUCAUCAUGGGCUGCUGACUCGCUGUAAAUGGAUGAUAAGCAGAAGAUAGAACUUGGAAUUCGGUUCUCUUGGUCUAAUCAUCAAAGGGGAAAGAGUGCAUGGAUAAAGUUAGCUGCAGGUGAAGCCCAAUUUGUACAAGGAUUAGACUAUGGGGCUUCAUACAUAGAGGCCAGUGUUUUAGGGACAAAUCCUGUCAAAAACACACAUUCACUUUCAUCACUGUCACCAAGGGCACAACCUAAAAGGUAACUUGCAGGACCACAAAUUCAGCUCCUCAAACUCUGGGAGACAUGAUGAGUUUUGACUGCACGUUUUCAGAUGAGCACUGACCAAAAAUUACGGACUAAAAAAAAGCCAAGGUUUUAUGUUUUUCGAAUAUCAGGGGGGUAAAAAUUCAAAAGCCUAAAUAAAAAAAAGAGCACCCAACAUGUGCAUGAGCAUCUUACAUGUUUAACAUUCAAUGAUACAGAUGGAGUGGCAGAAUCACCUCUGUUUGCCUUCAAAUACAGCAAUAUGUAAACAGAAACUUAAACAGUAAUAAAACUUUGUACAAGAAGUGA